This 410-nucleotide long non-coding RNA is filed under the name Monodelphis domestica (gray short-tailed opossum). Its description in RNAcentral is "lncRNA (ENSMODG00000031946.2)". Lineage: Eukaryota; Metazoa; Chordata; Mammalia; Didelphimorphia; Didelphidae. The record is from RNAcentral.
UUUGGUAGGCUGGUCCCAGCACCUCCUCUUACAAGCAUGAUUGCCAAACACUGUCAACAGGAAUGUUAUUGACAAAGCAAAAACUCCAGGGCAAAUAAGAAAAUCCCAAUAGUCUCAAUUUCUACAAUGCCCUAUUAAUAAUAAGUCAUAGUCUUAUAAUCCCUGGAGAAGAUUUUGUUUUGUUGGAUUUGAACUCACAGGACAAUAGUCCUAGGAAAGGAUCUCAGAGACCACCUGUCUCAUUUAACAGAUAAGGAAACUGAAUAUCAGGGAAGAUAUGGGACUUGCUCACAAACAGAAAGUGUGGCAAGUGAUGCCCACUUUCUCUAGACUUCAUAAUGGAAGAAUGGACUCAUAGAUUCAGAACACAACUUGUAAGAUAAGACAUGAGAGAUUUUUACAUGGACAAG